GUGUAUGGCCAUGCCACCCUGAACAAGCCAUAGUUCAUUGUGUAUGGCCAAUGCCUGAUCUCAGAAGAUAAGCAGGGUGGAGCCUGGUUAGCACUUGGGCGGGAGACCACCUAGAAAGACCAGGUGCUGUAGGCA
RNAcentral lists this ribosomal RNA (135 nucleotides) under Pteropus vampyrus (large flying fox). Lineage: Eukaryota; Metazoa; Chordata; Mammalia; Chiroptera; Pteropodidae. The record is from RNAcentral.